AAGCUCCAUGGGCUGGAGAUGUUCUCAUGAUCUUUUUCAGUGAGGUCUUAGGGGUUCCGAACUCUCAGACAGAUUCUCGUGACUUUCCCUCAGAGCUGAUGAGAUCAGGAGUC
Marmota marmota marmota (Alpine marmot) is the source of this 113-nucleotide unclassified non-coding RNA. NCBI's taxonomy places the organism in Eukaryota, Metazoa, Chordata, Mammalia, Rodentia, Sciuridae. The record is from Ensembl.